AGUCCAUUAUUCUCUGAUCCACUCUCUUUAAAACUCCUCAUCUCUAAAUUGGCGUCAAAGCGACGCCGGUUCAGUGGCGCCAACUAUGACGGCGAAAUGCUGGAAAAUUCCCGCAAAUUCUUGGCCAGAAUCUUUGGGAUAAGAUAUACACAAAAGCAUGGUAUACAGAAUCAAAAGAGUACGGUUUUCGUUCUGAGUUGAUUUGCUCAACUGCUUAUAAGAUGAAUUGUGCCAAUGUGCCCUGGACAACCAUCACCAACUAUGCCCCUGGUUUACAAUAUUAGUUUGGUUCCUGAUUCUUGGUGACCUUGGUGUGAAAUCCUUCUAAUUUGCCCUGCAGGUUGAGCUUAGUUCUAAGAAGUCCUACCUUGGACACACUCACACAGUGCAAUUGCUAGGUGAAUUGGCCCCCUUCAUCAUAUAAAGGUUGUAGCUGAUAAAGUUGAUUAUCUGUACUUUCUCCUCAUCGAGCUAGUGUCCAGUUUCAUUGAUAUGGUACAUACUCCCUCUCCAUUGGGGGUAAUUGUCACAUAAUCCAACUCACAUAGACAGGUGAAUAUUUACAAAGCUCACUAAAAUACUCUAUUAAUCUAUGUUGUUUCCAUAUUCUCUCCACCUCUGUAAUAGUCUAGAAAGUGUAAAAAUUCUUCCCGAACAUUUUAAAAUAGUAUUAUGUAGUCAGUACUACAUACUGACUUGUUUAUGGAAGAACGGGGGACAAUAUAUCAUCUGGUACCAAAA
This is a long non-coding RNA of Chenopodium quinoa (quinoa), 741 nucleotides long. RefSeq lists it as uncharacterized. The record is from RefSeq and is a predicted model, not a curated record. The transcript is spliced from 5 exons. NCBI's taxonomy places the organism in Eukaryota, Viridiplantae, Streptophyta, Magnoliopsida, Caryophyllales, Amaranthaceae.